Molecule: ribosomal RNA, 432 nt
Filed under: uncultured bacterium
Lineage: Bacteria
Description: bacterial SSU rRNA
Rfam family: Bacterial small subunit ribosomal RNA
Source: RNAcentral
UGGCGGACGGGUGAGUAAUACUUAGGAAUCUGCCCAGUAGUGGGGGACAACCAGGAGAAAUUCUGGCUAAUACCGCAUACGCACUACGGUGGAAAGUGGGGGAUCUUCGGACCUCACGCUAUUGGAUGAGCCUAAGUCGGAUUAGCUUGUUGGUAGGGUAAAGGCCUACCAAGGCGACGAUCCGUAGCUGGUCUGAGAGGACGAUCAGCCACACUGGGACUGAGACACGGCCCAGACUCCUACGGGAGGCAGCAGUGGGGAAUAUUGGACAAUGGGCGCAAGCCUGAUCCAGCAAUGCCGCGUGUGUGAAGAAGGCCUGCGGGUUGUAAAGCACUUUCAGUAGAGAAGAAAAGCCUAGGGUUAAUACCCCUGAGUCUUGACGUAACCUACAGAAGAAGCACCGGCUAACUCCGUGCCAGCAGCCGCGGUAAU